AUUGUUUCAUUCAUUCGUUUCUUUUAUUAACCUGUCUGUUUGCUCAUUUGUUCACCUUAAGGGAAAUCAUCACGUGCAUCAAGCAAGUUCAAGUGGAGAAAAAGAGAUGAAAUAAUUCGCACUAAUUUCAUUAAUGCUGGCUUGGAGCAUUUGUUUGUGGAUGUUAUGGUGGCCGAUGCUUCCAGGCAAGUACUUCGACCAACGCCUAUCUUUGAUGCAAUCAUCACUGAUCCUCCUUAUGGAGUCCGUGAAGGUGUUCGCAGUCAAAUGUCUGAAAAAGAACUUACUGAGAAUAGG
This 297-nucleotide long non-coding RNA is filed under the name Exaiptasia diaphana. Its description in RNAcentral is "uncharacterized LOC110248869, transcript variant X2". The record is from RNAcentral. Lineage: Eukaryota; Metazoa; Cnidaria; Anthozoa; Actiniaria; Aiptasiidae.